RNAcentral lists this long non-coding RNA (1524 nucleotides) under Homo sapiens (human). Its description in RNAcentral is "non-protein coding lnc-TWF1-1:1". The record is from RNAcentral. Lineage: Eukaryota; Metazoa; Chordata; Mammalia; Primates; Hominidae.
ACAAUGAUGAGAGAGCUGAAGGCAGAUGCAUACUUGAACCCCCAGAUGGGGGCUAUGUGGGAGACUAAUGGGUCUGUGAGAGAGAACUCCAGUCCCAGUAAGAAGUACACCACAUAAAUAGAGUAUCUCGGCCUGAGGGCACUCACAGGCACUUCCAGACCUUCUGAUACGAUGAAGCAACUGGAACGCCAGAGGCUAUCAGCCUACUUCAGAAAUUAUGCUAUCAGUGAUUGAGGCCAGAGAUCCACCCAAAAGAGUAGAUCUUGGAAAUAUUGAUGUUAGAGCAGUUCCUGACCAUUUUGCACAAGGAUACCCAGAACUGGGUGCAGAAGCAUCAUCCACAGAAUGUCAAAACAGGCUCUGGUCUUGGUGAAACGCUUGCAGAGAGAACCUGGUCAAACAAAGAAUAAGGUCACAGCCCAUGAGCUGGGAGAGAAGGCAGUGCUCCUGGGAGGAACAGCAGUGACCCCAGACUUCAAGUAUAAACCAGCGGAGCCCUAACCAAAGCGAGUGUUCCAGAAGGAAUGUUGGAAUAUAUACUGGGUACUACAAGAACAGCUAGGCUGGAAUACUCACAAAGAAACCCAGCCUGUAUAUGAAAGAGUCUUGUAUGCUCAACAGGUUUUAGCCUGUGCUGAGCAGAAAAGCACCAAAGACUGGAAGAUGGCAUCUCAGCUCAUCCUGCCUGAGUCCCAGAGUUUGCUGACAUUUGAAGAAGUGGUUGUGUAUUUUUCUGAGGAAGAAUGUCAAUUAUUGCAUCCUCCUGAGAAGACUUUAUGAUGUUGUAAUGCAGAGUAUCUGUGAAGCUGUCAUCUCUCUAGGGUUAAAGCUAAAAUAUGACACUGGAAAUGAUCAUCCUGUAUCGGUUUCUGCAUCAGAAAUACAAAUGCUAGGAUGCAAAAUAUCAAAACAGACCAGAAUGAAAUUGUCCAGAAAACAACAGGCAGGGAAAAUCAUGGUGAUAUACACAAGGUACAGAAACAGCACUGAGCUUUUCCAAGGAAGUAAAGAAACUUGCCACUUGUAAACAAGAGCUUCCAAAACUUAUGUGUCUUCAUGGGAAACACCACACAGGAGAGAAACCUUUUAAAUGUCAGGAAUGUGGGAAAAGCUUCAGUUAGCUCUGAUCUUAUUAAGUACCAGAGAAUUCACACUAAACAGAAGACCUAUAAGCGUCACCAAUGUGACACAAGGUUUAGAUGGAGUUCAGAUCUUAAUACGCACUACAUGACACAUCAAAGAGUAAAACCAUAUAGAUGCUCAUGGUGCGGGAAAUGCUUUAGUCAUGACACAAAUCUACACACAUACCAAAUAAUUCAUAUGGGAGAGAAGUCCUUUAAAUGUCAUGAAUGUGGAAAAAGAUUCAUUCAGAACUUCCACCUUAUUAAACACCAGAGAACCCACACAGGUGAACUGCCUUAUACUUGUAUCAUAUGCAGAAGAAACUUUAGUAGGUGGUUGAACCGUCUUAGACACCAGAAAAGCCACAGAAGAAGGAAGGCAUGUUUAAUGUCGCUAAACUGA